RNAcentral lists this long non-coding RNA (2942 nucleotides) under Heterocephalus glaber (naked mole-rat). RNAcentral describes it as "lncRNA (ENSHGLG00000032637.1)". Lineage: Eukaryota; Metazoa; Chordata; Mammalia; Rodentia; Bathyergidae. The record is from RNAcentral.
CUGGGAUGCAGGCCAGGUGUGGUGGCAUAUGCCUUUUAUCUCAGCACUCAGGCAGCUGAGACAGGAGGACUGACAUGAGUUCAAGGCCAGCCUGGGCUACAUAGUGAGUUCAAGGUCAACCUAAACCAUAUAGUGAGAUCUUGUCUCAAAAAAAGAAAAGAAAAGAAAAAUAUCUGGGAUAUGGAGUCACUCACUUCCUGUAUGGAUCAAGGGCCCAGUCCUCUGGCACUAGGACUGCUGAGGCAAUUUCCAAUAGUAUUUUUAUAUUCUUUUACUUGGAUCCCUUUCCCAAUUUCUGUCCCUUUGUCUUUGACUAUCUCUCUCUAUACACACACACACACACACACACUUUUCCCAUCUUCCUUUCCUCGUUUUGUUUUUUUUUUUCCUUUGCUUGCAAGAACCUCUCCAAUAACCUUCAGCACAACAAAAGUGUAGCUUUUUAAGGAGCCUCAGUGAUCAAAGAUCUUCUAAUCCUGUGCUACUAUUGGUGUUUGCACUUACUACAGAGCCAUUUGCUUUAUAGCCACCUGCUACAUAUUUAUUGAUGACAACGUUAAGACAAGAAUAUAUGUCUCUUAAGAGGCCUGUGGGUCUGAAUAGAGGGAGAGAAACUUCAUGCAGAAGAGAGCUCAACUUGAGUUACACCAAGUCAUUACUCAGUGACUAUAUGGCCCUGGGGAAGCAGGGGAUAUGUAAGGACCAUGUGUGCUGUAUAAACCAAAGAUUGAUCACCAUCCAAAUGGACACAUGUUUCUUCCAUUGCCCAGCUGAAUUUUCUCCUGAUGUUCUCACAAAAACGUGAACAUGGGUCUCAUGGUUGAAUGAAACCAUAGGGGGUUUUCUUUUGAAGGCUGUUGAUUGACCUUACUAAAUCCAGAAAUCCCAAAUAAACGAACUGUGGCCUUUGUACCACACUAUCUUUAAAGUCUAGUAGUUAGUCCCCUUUACCUUCAAAACUUUCAGACAAGUCCAGUGCUUUGUUGAACUCAGAAUUUUGUUCUCUUUGAGAAUGUGAAGAUUUUAAAUAGCCAAAGAAUUUUCAUGUAUAAGAGCUAGCUCAUUAUACUGCAUCCUGCUUUUUGAAGAAAAUACCAAACUGUUGCCUGUACUGAUAGCAGAGCAGUUAAACAAUGACCACUAACACGUGGACUUAGCAGUCUGAAUUUGCGUUGGCCUCUGUGGUGGUUUGGUAGAAAGUUAUUGCAUGGUGAACAGCACCCUCUGCUGGAAUAAUAACAUUCUUCCUUCAGCAAAUCAAUUUUUGACUUGAGUCAUCACUUCUUCAACUCAUUAUUUGCCUUUUAUCCUACCAUUUCCUGAAUAGUUGAGAAUUUGGUCUACAGUUAUCCAAAGAGGGAAGAAUGUCACAAACUCUGAAAAGAUGAAGGAGACCUCACAAAAGUGCUUCAGCCCUUUCUUCUUGCAAAAUGUUGACAUGCACAGUUUGCAAAGAUUUCUCGGGCUGAAAUAUAUGUUCUGAGUUGUAAGCGGAGGUCAGCUUCAUGUGUAACUUCUCUCAACUUUCUUCUUGUGAAAUCGUAAAGGAAGAUCAAUAAAAGGACUUCUUUCAUAUGAAUGUAAAUGGCGUGCAAUGCUGAUGUGUUUUAUACAUGUACAUAAUAAAUAUAUUUACUUCUGCUUUCACAUUAGUAAUCUGAAAUAGUUGUACCAUUUUAUAAUUAGAAAGAGACAGCGGUGGGAGGGGUUGGAAGGGGCUGUUAUUUUUAUAGUGGAAUGUCCCUUAUAUUUAGAAAAUUUGAAGUAAUUUUGUAUUUGUGAAAAGUUACAUUCCAUCCAUUUCCUUAAAAAAAAAAAAAAAAAAAAAAAGGUAUUGUUCUUUAAAAUGUUCAUGAGCUUGGAGGAAAAAUUAUUCUAGUUGCCAGGGGAGUCUCCCAACCAGUACAUAGGUGACACCAGUUUUAUAGACUGCAGGCCACAACCAGAAAUUCCCAGUUUUUAAAAAUGUGAAAAAUAAACCCCACUUAUAUGAGCCCCUUUUUUUACACCACAGCAUUAUUUCCCACUGGGAAAAAACAAAGGUCUGCUCAGAAUGAAUUUACAGUUAUAAAAUUAGCAGUGAUGACAUUGCAAAUCAACCUCCAGACCUCCCUGGUAAUCAGAGGAAAAUCCAGUGGCUUCAUUUUGUUUUCCUAACAUGAAUUACAUGCUGUUAUUAUGAAAUGAAUGAUGUCACAGGUGGUAUUUUACUUAGCUUCCCCCACAGACUUUCUGGCCAGCCUGCAGGUCAUAAAUAUGAUGGCCCCAUCUCAGCCUUGCCGGUCACGUCACAGCACUUGGCUCCAAUUCAUUUGCCAUCUGAACCCCCAAGUCACAAAAAAGUUGCUUCCAAUGAUAUUUGCAUGGGGAGUUUAGAAUUUGGACUUUGGAUAGCUCUUGAUCGUCGCAAUACUGUAGUAGUGAUUACCCAGCCAUUCUACUCACACAUCAUUUUCUGUACAAAGUCACGUGCACAUUUAAAGAAUUAGUUAAGGCAGUACAGUUGUCUGGGGUUUUUUUCCUGUGUAAGUCUUUUUCCUUCUCCAUCUCAGGCACCAACCCUAGUCCUUUCAAAGCACUUUAUAGCUCUUAAAAUACAAAGAAAUUUGAAAACACAACCUGUCUUUAAAAGAAAUUGUCUUCUAUUAGGAGACACAGACAUUUUACUUCAUUCUGUUUUCUAUGUGCCUGGAGAGCAUAAACUGUUUUUGUUUCAUGCUGGGCUAGCCAUGAAAUGUUAAGGAUGAUAGUUGGAAACGUUCGAUCAUACAACGUGACUAUUUUUGUUACAUAGAAGACUAUCAUGUAAAUAGUGCAAUUGUGUUCUUAUGUACUGGUUUAAAAAAUAUAUUGCAACUAUAAAGAUUUUAACAGAAGGAUUGUGAAUUCCAGGAAAUUUCAUUGCAAAAUUUUGUUUGGUUUUGUUUCGUAAUAAAAAGGAG